UACGGGGGGAGCAAGCGUUGUUCGGAUUUACUGGGCGUAAAGGGUUGGUAGGUGGUCUUGUUUGUCUAAGGUGAAAUCCCAUGGCUUAACUGUGGAAGUGCCUUGGAAACGGCAAGACUAGAGUCCUAGAGGGGUUUGUGGAAUUCCCGGUGUAGCGGUGAAAUGCGUAGAGAUCGGGAGGAACACCAGCGGCGAAGGCGGCAAACUGGAUAGGCACUGACACUCAACAACGAAAGCGUGGGGAGCGAACAGG
This 253-nucleotide ribosomal RNA is filed under the name uncultured bacterium. RNAcentral describes it as "partial 16S ribosomal RNA". It matches the Rfam family "Bacterial small subunit ribosomal RNA", at positions 524 to 776 of the family's 1533-position model. The record is from RNAcentral.